AGCAGCCGCGGUAAUUCCAGCUCCAAUAGCGUAUAUUAAAGUUGUUGCAGUUAAAAAGCUCGUAGUUGAAUUUCGGGGUUCUACCGUUGGUCGGGCUAUUGUCUGUACUGGCGUGUAGAAUUUCUACCUUCUGGGGAACUAUCAUGUUAUUAAUUUAGCGUGGUAGGAAACCAGAACCUUUACCUUGAAAAAAUUAGAGUGUUCAAAGCAGGCUUAUGUCUGAAUACAUUAGCAUGGAAUAAUAAAAUAGGACGGUGGUCCUGUUUUGUUGGUUUCUGAAUCACCGUAAUGAUUAAUAGGGAUAGUUGGGGGCAUUAGUAUUCAAUUGUCAGAGGUGAAAUUCUUGGAUUUAUUGAAGACUAACUACUGCGAAAGCAUUUGCCAAGGAUGUUUUCAUUAAUCAAGAACGAAAGUUAGGGAUCGAAGACGAUCAGAUACCGUCGUAGUCUUAACCAUAAACUAUGCCGACUAGGGAUCGGAUGAUGUUAAUUUUUUAAUGUACUCAUUCGGCGCCUUACGG
This 520-nucleotide ribosomal RNA is filed under the name uncultured Scutellospora. RNAcentral's name for it is "SSU rRNA". It matches the Rfam family "Eukaryotic small subunit ribosomal RNA", at positions 569 to 1093 of the family's 1831-position model. The record is from RNAcentral. Lineage: Eukaryota; Fungi; Glomeromycota; Glomeromycetes; Diversisporales; Gigasporaceae.